Molecule: long non-coding RNA, 1094 nt
Filed under: Gallus gallus (chicken)
Lineage: Eukaryota; Metazoa; Chordata; Aves; Galliformes; Phasianidae
Description: lncRNA (ENSGALG00010016579.1)
Source: RNAcentral
GUCUUGCUGGAGAUCCCUGUGUGCCUGAGGCCUUCUGAAGUGGCUGAGUUAGUGCUCCUGCUGACCCUGUCUGUCUGUAGGAGUUUGCAGAUCUCACCAGCAGCAGAGGCAGAGGGACUGGAAGGGGCAGCUUUCUCAGCGCUGACAGAAGUAGCUCUUCCUACAGCAGGGAAGAAGGCAGUGUAAGGGGCUGGGGGAUGCCCAGACCCAUGUGUUUCCCAUGUCUUCUAACAGUGGUCUAUGCUAUUCAUGAACAACUUCUCAAUUGCUGUAAAUAACCAUCACAAAUGGUGCUGAUUAAUGGAAUGGUAAAUAAUUAGGAAGAAUGGAACAGUUACACAAGACUAUUGCCUUCUCGAACAACCAUGCACCUAAGAAGGAAUUAUAAAGCCCAAAUGUAGAGGGUGAAGGAUGGUAUUUGGAGAAGCUCUGUGGAGAAAAAUGGCUGAGGACUGCUUUGUGAGAUAUUUUAAGUACCUUUUUGCCUAAAAGACUGUGAGUAAAUGGAAAUUCAUUAGCAAACAUUCUUGUCUGUGAUGUUAAGCUUAGGGCUUAGGGAAGGCUUCAGGGUUUUAAUACACACUUCCAGGAACAUUGAAAAAUAAGAAUCAGCAGCAUUCUUACACCAAAGGUCAGCAAUUACAGUCUGCAAAGCAGACAAUGAGAAGCAAGCUUGAGCCAAAGAAGGUCUGUCCUUAACUGUUGUUGUUGGCUUUCAGUUGUUGUAGGCUUAAUGCUCAGAAUACUUCCAGUCCGUUGUGUUCCCAAAUUCCUCGGUACUGAGGAUAACAACUGGGGAGUGGUUAACUGAGGGGAAGGGAGCGUUGGGGUUGGUGGGUUGGAUUGUGUUGUUUGGUGUGUGUGAUGUUGUUUCAUUUAUGCAAUCUAAAGCUACUUAGUGUUUCAGAUGUACUCCUCGAACUCCAGAUGUCAGUAUCAAGCAAUGUGUUCUGCCACACCUUAAAUCCAGGGCCCGGACUUCUGAGUAAUAAGAAAAAGCAACAGACUCAAGGUGAAGAAAUUCUUUGGUUUGACCAUGUUUCCAAAAACUGCAAAAUACCACUAGUUGGUGAUAAUUUUCUUGUUGAACGCGU